UAGUCCAGUAGCUCAGUUGGUUAGAGCACUUGUCUGAUAAACAAGAGGUCGGUGGUUCAAGUCCACUCUGGACUAU
This 76-nucleotide transfer RNA is filed under the name compost metagenome. RNAcentral describes it as "tRNA-Ile". It matches the Rfam family "tRNA". Rfam says of the family: Transfer RNA (tRNA) molecules are approximately 80 nucleotides in length. Their secondary structure includes four short double-helical elements and three loops (D, anti-codon, and T loops). Further hydrogen bonds mediate the characteristic L-shaped molecular structure. tRNAs have two regions of fundamental functional importance: the anti-codon, which is responsible for specific mRNA codon recognition, and the 3' end, to which the tRNAs corresponding amino acid is attached (by aminoacyl-tRNA synthetases). tRNAs cope with the degeneracy of the genetic code in two manners: having more than one tRNA (with a specific anti-codon) for a particular amino acid; and 'wobble' base-pairing, i.e. permitting non-standard base-pairing at the 3rd anti-codon position. The record is from RNAcentral.